This 496-nucleotide ribosomal RNA is filed under the name uncultured bacterium. RNAcentral's name for it is "partial 16S ribosomal RNA". It matches the Rfam family "Bacterial small subunit ribosomal RNA", at positions 29 to 507 of the family's 1533-position model. The record is from RNAcentral.
ACGAACGCUGGCGGCGUGCCUAAUACAUGCAGGUUGAGCGCUGAAGGUUGGUACUUGUACCAACUGGAUGAGCAGCGAACGGGUGAGUAACGCGUGGGGAAUCUGCCUUUGAGCGGGGGACAACAUUUGGAAACGAAUGCUAAUACCGCAUAAAAACUUUAAACACAAGUUUUAAGUUUGAAAGAUGCAAUUGCAUCACUCAAAGAUGAUCCCGCGUUGUAUUAGCUAGUUGGUGAGGUAAAGGCUCACCAAGGCGAUGAUACAUAGCCGACCUGAGAGGGUGAUCGGCCACAUUGGGACUGAGACACGGCCCAAACUCCUACGGGAGGCAGCAGUAGGGAAUCUUCGGCAAUGGACGAAAGUCUGACCGAGCAACGCCGCGUGAGUGAAGAAGGUUUUCGGAUCGUAAAACUCUGUUGGUAGAGAAGAACGUUGGUGAGAGUGGAAAGCUCAUCAAGUGACGGUAACUACCCAGAAAGGGACGGCUAACUACGUG